Molecule: ribosomal RNA, 305 nt
Filed under: uncultured bacterium
Lineage: Bacteria
Description: bacterial SSU rRNA
Rfam family: Bacterial small subunit ribosomal RNA
Source: RNAcentral
CGACCUACGGGAGGCAGCAGUGGGGAAUAUUGCACAAUGGGGGGAACCCUGAUGCAGCGACGCCGCGUGAGUGAAGAAGUAUUUCGGUAUGUAAAGCUCUAUCAGCAGGGAAGAAGAUGACGGUACCUGACUAAGAAGCCCCGGCUAACUGCGUGCCAGCAGCCGCGGUAAUACGUAGGGAGCGAGCGUUGUCCGGAUUUACUGGGUGUAAAGGGUGCGUAGGCGGGUAAGCAAGUCAGAAGUGAAAUCCAUGGGCUUAACCCAUGAACUGCUUUUGAAACUGUUUAUCUUGAGUGAAGUAGAGG